This 1402-nucleotide long non-coding RNA is filed under the name Gallus gallus (chicken). The record is from RNAcentral. Lineage: Eukaryota; Metazoa; Chordata; Aves; Galliformes; Phasianidae.
GGCUCUGCAAAGGCACAACUCUAUUUAUUUACGUGUGCAGAUGAAGGGCUCGCGGCGCUUCCAAAACCAGCAGAGCACCGCUUGUAGGGGAACGUCAGCGCUGCGCUGUGCCGCAAUCUCACCCAUGGAUUUGUGCAGCACGGGAGCGUACACCAAUGUCAUGUGCAGAGAGCGCUGAGCUCUGAUGGGGUGAAAAGCAGAGCUCAGAGCUCCAGAUCAGGGCAAGCAGUGCAGCGUUGCCAUUGCCAGCUGUGAACCUCAUGGAUCCGACGCUGCGCCCCCACUGGGUCUCACAUCUCAGUGUUCCUGCCAGUGGUUGCUGCCUUUGCCUUCAGAGCCAUCUACUUCCACCGGCCGCCCACCAUGGUCUUCCCACGUGCAGCCUUUGACCCUUACACCUUCUGGUGGUCACUGACACGAUUUCGAAGGACGUUGAUCUCGUACUUCUGCCGCUUGAACUUCUCCUGCAAGUCAAAUUUCUCAGCCUCCAGGUCACGGAUGGUUUGCCACAGCUCCUUGGCUUUGUCCCUCAGUUUGUCUUCGCUGAGGUGGUCGAUGUUCAGAGGCUUCCGCCGCUCGCUGAGGAUCUUUUUCUUCUUCUCCCGCUCCGUUUGCUUCUUGCCACCCUUCUUCUCCGACUUCUGCAUGUAGCCUCCAAAGUGCAGCAUGUUGGAGAAAGCUUUCUUUUUCCGAGCUUCUUCCUCAGCCUUCUUCCGUGCCUCCUCUUCCUCUUUGCGAGCUCUCUCCUCAGCCAUGCGGGCCUGGCGCUCCUUCUCCCUCUCGCUGCGGAUGCGCUGCUGCUCUGCCCUCUCUGCCCUCCGCUGCUCAAUCCUGUCCUUGAGAGAGAUGAGCUCCUCUUCCUCCUUCUUCCUGCUCUCAAAAUGGGCUUCGAUGAGGGCCUGCAGCUCAUUCAGGUCCUUCUCCAUGCGCUUGCGGUGGAUGUCAUCGAAAUCCAGGCGCUCGCCAUCAGGGAUUUUGGGAGGCACCAGGUUGGGCAUGAAGGGCUUGGGUUUGGGCUUUGAUUCACCUUCCCCAGGCUCCUGCUCCCGGUCCCCCUCACCACCUUCUCCUGGUGCUUUUGUUUCAUCUUCUUGUUCUUCUGCCGUGGUUUCCUCUGUCUCCUCUUCCUCCUCGUCUACCUGAUCCUCCUGACCGUCGUCUUCCUCAAGCCAUUCUUCCUCUUCUUCUUCCACAUACUCCUCUUCCACUUACUGCUCGUAUUCCUCAACGACCUCUUCAGAGUCCGACAUGCUUGGCUAUCUGUGCCGAGGUCCCACGGAGCGGUGGGUGCCGGCGGCUGUCUGGGAAGGGCUCCUUGGGGGGCAGAGGCUUUAAGGUCCCCCCGGCGCCCACCCCGGGGCGGGCAGAGCCAGCAGGAAUGUGCCCGGCGCCCAGAGAGGAA